ACGCUUUCAUUCAAAAUGAAGUCCAACCGAGAAAGCAGCCUGUCACUGGAGCAACUGAGGUUCAAGGCCCUUGCCGAUGGACCCUAUGAUGACAUCACUCUGCUGACCGCGGGAUUGGUGGAUGCAGCCACACACAUCUCCCCUGCCGGUGGUAAAAUUAAAGACGUAACUCAAUCUUCCCCACUCCAGAAUCGACGCCUUCUUGCAAAGCUCAUCAAGGACACUCCUCAAGGACAUCAGUAAGUGGCACUGGCAGUUCACAUAUCCUGGGUUGCAGUUCAAACUGCACUGCCUGCAAAACAAGGGUUUCCUGGGUGACCCAGCCUCACCCCUUAAUCCCAAGGCACGGUAGGCUAACUGCUGUCUCUUAACUGACCGCAGCAUGUGCUUAUGGCUUCAUCUAUGCUCCCGGUGAUGGACAGGCAUCAUGUAGAGUGUGCAUCCCAGCCUUGUGCCUUUUGCCACACUGUCCAGGUUAAGUGGUUGGAAGAUGGAUGAAUGAAUUGUUAGGUGGAUGUGAGUGUAGGCAGUUACUAAAGAACACAGAGCCGAGUUGUCCAUUGUGAGGAAGUGAGUUGCCUGCUUACAGGACCAUAUUCUGCGGGUUGACAUACAGCUUCUGUGUAUUGUGAACCUCAGGCAGAACUUUCCAGAAAGCAACGUUUCCCAGGUUCCAAUUACAGCUUGGCCCUUCCUGUGACAUUUAUAGCACUGUUCCUGCCUCACUGCUUAAUUGCUUUUGUUAUCGCUGCUGUUCCCUGGAUGUUUGUGUCGUUCACGGAGACUGGCUGUCUUCCCCCCCCCCCCCAUUCCCGACCCGCCUCUCAACACCAACCCCAGCCAG
This is a long non-coding RNA of Brienomyrus brachyistius, 844 nucleotides long. RefSeq lists it as uncharacterized. The record is from RefSeq and is a predicted model, not a curated record. The transcript is spliced from 3 exons. NCBI's taxonomy places the organism in Eukaryota, Metazoa, Chordata, Actinopteri, Osteoglossiformes, Mormyridae.